This 498-nucleotide ribosomal RNA is filed under the name uncultured Anaplasma sp. RNAcentral's name for it is "bacterial SSU rRNA". It matches the Rfam family "Bacterial small subunit ribosomal RNA", at positions 128 to 660 of the family's 1533-position model. The record is from RNAcentral. Lineage: Bacteria; Pseudomonadati; Pseudomonadota; Alphaproteobacteria; Rickettsiales; Anaplasmataceae.
ACCUAGUAGUAUGGGAUAGCCACUAGAAAUGGUGGGUAAUACUGUAUAAUCCCUGCGGGGGAAAGAUUUAUCGCUAUUAGAUGAGCCUAUGUCAGAUUAGCUAGUUGGUGGGGUAAUGGCCUACCAAGGCGGUGAUCUGUAGCUGGUCUGAGAGGAUGAUCAGCCACACUGGAACUGAGACACGGUCCAGACUCCUACGGGAGGCAGCAGUGGGGAAUAUUGGACAAUGGGCGCAAGCCUGAUCCAGCUAUGCCGCGUGAGUGAGGAAGGCCUUAGGGUUGUAAAACUCUUUCAGUAGGGAAGAUAAUGACGGUACCUACAGAAGAAGUCCCGGCAAACUCCGUGCCAGCAGCCGCGGUAAUACGGAGGGGGCAAGCGUUGUUCGGAAUUAUUGGGCGUAAAGGGCAUGUAGGCGGUUUGGUAAGUUAAAGGUGAAAUACCAGGGCUUAACCCUGGGGCUGCUUUUAAUACUGCAGGACUAGAGUCCGGAAGAGGAUA